RNAcentral lists this ribosomal RNA (274 nucleotides) under uncultured bacterium. Its description in RNAcentral is "partial 16S ribosomal RNA". It matches the Rfam family "Bacterial small subunit ribosomal RNA", at positions 524 to 796 of the family's 1533-position model. The record is from RNAcentral.
CACGUAGGGGGCAAGCGUUGUCCGGAUUUAUUGGGCGUAAAGAGCUCGUAGGCGGUUCGAUAAGUCGGGUGUGAAAACUCUGGGCUCAACUCAGAGACGCCACCCGAUACUGUCGUGACUGGAGUCUGGUAGGGGAGUGUGGAAUUCCCGGUGUAGCGGUGAAAUGCGCAGAUAUCGGGAGGAACACCAGUGGCGAAGGCGGCACUCUGGGCCAGUACUGACGCUGAGGAGCGAAAGCGUGGGGAGCGAACAGGAUUAGAAACCCCCGUAGUCC